UACGUAGGCAGCGAGCGUUGUUCGGAGUUACUGGGCGUAAAGCGUGCGUAGGCGGUGUCUUAAGUUUGUUGUGAAAUCUCCCGGCCUAACCGGGAGGGUGCGGCGAAUACUGAGAUGCUGGAGUGCCGGAGAGGUAAGCGGAAUUCCUGGUGUAGCGGUGAAAUGCGUAGAUAUCAGGAGGAACACCAAUUGCGAAGGCAGCUCGCUGGGACGUUACUGACGCUGAGACGCGAAAGCGUGGGGAGCAAACAGG
This 253-nucleotide ribosomal RNA is filed under the name uncultured bacterium. RNAcentral describes it as "partial 16S ribosomal RNA". It matches the Rfam family "Bacterial small subunit ribosomal RNA", at positions 524 to 776 of the family's 1533-position model. The record is from RNAcentral.